Molecule: ribosomal RNA, 523 nt
Filed under: uncultured eukaryote
Lineage: Eukaryota
Description: SSU rRNA
Rfam family: Eukaryotic small subunit ribosomal RNA
Source: RNAcentral
AGUAGUCAUAUCGCUCGUCUCAAAGAUUAAGCCACGCACGUCUAAGUAUAAAUCGGAUUAUACAGUAGAAACUCGCGAAUCGGCUCAUUAAAUCAGUUAUAGUUUAUUUCGAUAAUACCUUUUACUUCGGAUAACCGUAAUAAUUUUAGAGCUAAUACAUGCGUGAAAGUGCGACUUUUGUGGAAGCACUGUAUUUAUUAGAUACAAAACCAAUCGAGCUUGCUCGUUACCUUGGUGAUUCAUAAUAACUAAACGAAUCGUAUGACUUUAUGUCGACGAUGAUUCAUUCAAAUUUCUGCCCUAUCAACUUUCGAUGGUAAGGUAUUGGCUUACCAUGGUUACAACGGGUGACGGAGAAUUAGGGUUCGAUUCCGGAGAGGGAGCCUGAGAAACGGCUACCACUUCUACGGAGGGCAGCAGGCGCGCAAAUUACCCAAUCCUGACUCAGGGAGGUAGUGACGAAUAAUAACGAUACGUGACUUCGGUCUAGUAAUUGGAAUGAGUACAAUUUAAACCCCUUAAU